Molecule: ribosomal RNA, 267 nt
Filed under: uncultured archaeon
Lineage: Archaea
Description: partial 16S ribosomal RNA
Rfam family: Archaeal small subunit ribosomal RNA
Source: RNAcentral
AGUCACUGACAUUAGACUACCCCCGUAGUCCCAGCCGUAAACUAUGCGCGUUAGGUGUACUGGUGACCACGAGUCGACCGGGUGCCGAAGGGAAACCGUGAAACGUGCCGCCGUGGGAAGUACGGUCGCAAGGCUAGAAACUUAAAGGAAUUGGCGGGGAGCACCACAACGGGUGGAGCCUGCGGUUUAAUUGGACUCAACGCCGGAAAUCUCACCGGAUAGGACAGACAUAUGAUAGUCGGGCUGAAGACUCUACUUGAUGAUCUG